AAAUCAUCAGCUCAACAGUGACAUAUAGGCCUAUGCACUUAGCAGAAUAGAUGACAAGAGAGAGAAGAAGUAAAUCAGUGACCGGAGAUAAAGAAGACACAGCAAUACAGAUGCAUUAUAUCAGUAAUGCACAACAUUCACAGGACCUCAUGAUAAUAGGCUCGUCGGGACACAGAGAAAGGAGCGAGACGCUUGUCAGAGUGGAUACAUCCGUGCCUGACCCGAGGGAGAUGGCUCAGUGCACGACACAUCAGUUACAGGACACCGAGAGACCCUAUCCCCCCUCCUCGCAGGCUAAUGGUUGUCAAGUUAGUGAGGGCCUGUUCUCUUGUCUGGGCCAGGCCUGUUGUCAUGUGAAAUCCAUUAGAGGUCGCAAGCACACAGGAUGGGCGGUCGAUUGAUAAGGCGGGAGGAGAAGUGAGGCAGAAGCAGGGGAAGAAAGGAGAAGCUUUUUUAUCUCCCAACUGUACUGUACUCUCCUUGAGGACUUUGUAAAGAAAACUGAAGUAGAGUGGAAAAUUGAUGGAGAUGUCUUACAUUAUUAUUGUACUUCCAAGCAACGGCUUGGAAGAUUGUAUUCUCAAAUGGUAAGACAGGUAAAAAUAGUCUUCUAUGUAAUCAGAAACAAAAUUGAAGUUCUCUUGCUGUCAACAAAGAAAGGAGAAAUAAGGUUGUUUGAGUCCAAUAUAAUGUCCUCUAAAAUUGUCAUAGGUUGAUAUUAUAUCCCAAAUCCACCAAUGAAAGUAUUUCAACCAACACUUACUCACACAUUACAAUAAUCGCCAAUGGCAACCUAAAUGCUGUACUCAGACAAAGUUUUCCCUUAGUUUUACUGAUAAUGUGUUUAUCAUUUAACUUGUUUAUUCUUUUUCCAUUCUUUUUUAAUUCAUAGCCUGUCUUCCCAAAUGUCACACUUCUUCCAAAUCUUAUUUCUCAAGACUUGACAGUGCUACAAACUGUGGAAGCGUUGCCUUCGGUGACAGCACACUAAGUCAUACUGUGGGUUUCUUGAUUACAUUAAUUCACAGGCAAUUUAGUGGGAAGCCACCGGAUAGUUGAGAACCAAUCCAUAUGCUAUUUAUUUUCUGCCUAUUUUUUCAUUUAUUAUAUUUUAUGCACAAGGGACCCUGUGAACACCCAUCUUUCUGUCGAAUCAGUCAAGGCAGCAGCAUCAUUUUCUCUUUUCUUUUUUCUUUUUUUACCUCCGAGCACAUUAAGUAGGUUUCUUUCUUUAAAGUGUCAUUAAUAAUCAAUCCUGCAUUCUAUUUUUCACGCCUGUUUUCCUUCAUAUAUGAAUGAUAAUUAUUAUCUUUUACUGUCACACAAAUGUAAAAGGGGGUACAAUGCCUCAUUAAAAAAAAAA
This is a long non-coding RNA of Etheostoma cragini (Arkansas darter), 1363 nucleotides long. RefSeq lists it as uncharacterized. The record is from RefSeq and is a predicted model, not a curated record. The transcript is spliced from 2 exons. NCBI's taxonomy places the organism in Eukaryota, Metazoa, Chordata, Actinopteri, Perciformes, Percidae.